RNAcentral lists this ribosomal RNA (253 nucleotides) under uncultured bacterium. Its description in RNAcentral is "partial 16S ribosomal RNA". It matches the Rfam family "Bacterial small subunit ribosomal RNA", at positions 524 to 776 of the family's 1533-position model. The record is from RNAcentral.
UACGUAGGUGGCAAGCGUUGUCCGGAUUUAUUGGGUUUAAAGGGCGCGUAGGCGGCUUUUUAAGUCAGUGGUGAAAGCCGAUCGCUUAACGAUCGAACUGCCAUUGAUACUGCGAGGCUUGAGUAUAGUUGAGGUAGGCGGAAUUGACAGUGUAGCGGUGAAAUGCGUAGAUAUUGGGAAGAACACCAGUGGCGAAGGCAGCUUACUAGAGUAUAACUGACGCUGAGGCGCGAAAGUGCGGGGAGCAAACAGG